GAAAUGCGAUAAGUAAUGUGAAUUGCAGAAUUCAGUGAAUCAUCGAAUCUUUGAACGCACAUUGCGCCCGGCAGUAAUCUGCCGGGCAUGCCUGUCCGAGCGUCAUUUCUGCCCUCGAGCGCGGUUCGGCCCCUAGCGGGCCGGCCGCCGCCCGGUGUUGGGGCGCUGCGGGCCCUCGUGCCCGCAGGCCCUGAAAUGAAGUGGCGGUCCCGCCGCGGCGCCCCCUGCGUAGUAGUAAAGCACCUCGCAUCGGGUCCCGGCGGAGGCCAGCCGUCGAACCUCUCUUUUGAUGGUUUGACCUCGGAUCAGGUAGGGUUACCCGCUGAACUUAAGC
This 334-nucleotide unclassified non-coding RNA is filed under the name plant metagenome. RNAcentral describes it as "partial contains 5.8S ribosomal RNA, internal transcribed spacer 2, and large subunit ribosomal RNA". The stretch from base 1 to 105 matches the Rfam family "5.8S ribosomal RNA", at positions 50 to 154 of the family's 154-position model. The record is from RNAcentral.